Molecule: ribosomal RNA, 446 nt
Filed under: uncultured bacterium
Lineage: Bacteria
Description: partial 16S ribosomal RNA
Rfam family: Bacterial small subunit ribosomal RNA
Source: RNAcentral
CCUACGGGGGGCAGCAGUCGAGAAUCAUUCACAAUGGGGGAAACCCUGAUGGUGCGACGCCGCGUGGGGGAAUGAAGGUCUUCGGAUUGUAAACCCCUGUCAUGUGGGAGCAAAUUAAAAAGAUAGUACCAUAAGAGGAAGAGACGGCUAACUCUGGGCCAGCAGCCGCGGUAAUACAGAGGUCUCAAGCGUUGUUCGGAAUCACUGGGCGUAAAGCGUGCGUAGGCUGUUUCGUAAGUCGUGUGUGAAAGGCGCGGGCUCAACCCGCGGACGGCACAUGAUACUGGGAGACUAGAGUAAUGGAGAGGGAAGCGGAAUUCUCGGUGUAGCAGUGAAAUGCGUAGAUAUCGAGAGGAACACUCGUGGCGAAGGCAGGUUACUGGACAUUAACUGACGCUGAGGCACGAAGGCCAGGGGAGCGAAAGGGAUUAGAUACCCUAGUAGUC